RNAcentral lists this ribosomal RNA (253 nucleotides) under uncultured bacterium. Its description in RNAcentral is "partial 16S ribosomal RNA". It matches the Rfam family "Bacterial small subunit ribosomal RNA", at positions 524 to 776 of the family's 1533-position model. The record is from RNAcentral.
UACGAAGGGGGCUAGCGUUGCUCGGAAUUACUGGGCGUAAAGCGUGCGCAGGCGGUUUGUUAAGACAGAUGUGAAAUCCCCGGGCUUAACCUGGGAACUGCAUUUGUGACUGGCAAGCUAGAGUAUGGCAGAGGGGGGUAGAAUUCCACGUGUAGCAGUGAAAUGCGUAGAGAUGUGGAGGAAUACCAAUGGCGAAGGCAGCCCCCUGGGCCAAUACUGACGCUCAUGCACGAAAGCGUGGGGAGCAAACAGG